UACGUAGGUGGCAAGCGUUAUCCGGAUUUAUUGGGCGUAAAGGGAACGCAGGCGGUCUUUUAAGUCUGAUGUGAAAGCCUUCGGCUUAACCGGAGUAGUGCAUUGGAAACUGGGAGACUUGAGUGCAGAAGAGGAGAGUGGAACUCCAUGUGUAGCGGUGAAAUGCAUAGAUAUAUGGAAGAACACCAGUGGCGAAAGCGGCUCUCUGGCCUGUAACUGACACUGAGGCUCGAAAGCGUGGGGAGCAAACAGG
RNAcentral lists this ribosomal RNA (253 nucleotides) under uncultured bacterium. RNAcentral describes it as "partial 16S ribosomal RNA". It matches the Rfam family "Bacterial small subunit ribosomal RNA", at positions 524 to 776 of the family's 1533-position model. The record is from RNAcentral.